Molecule: ribosomal RNA, 536 nt
Filed under: uncultured bacterium
Lineage: Bacteria
Description: bacterial SSU rRNA
Rfam family: Bacterial small subunit ribosomal RNA
Source: RNAcentral
GGAUUGGAAAUGGGCGCAGCCUGAUCCAGCCAUGCCGCGUGAGUGAUGACGGCCUUAGGGUUGUAAAGCUCUUUCGCUCGGGACGAUAAUGACGGUACCGAGAGAAGAAGCCCCGGCUAACUUCGUGCCAGCAGCCGCGGUAAUACGAAGGGGGCUAGCGUUGUUCGGAAUUACUGGGCGUAAAGCGCGUGUAGGCGGGUCGUUAAGUCAGGGGUGAAAUGCCAAGGCUCAACCUUGGAACUGCCUUUGAUACUGGAGACCUUGAGUCCGGGAGAGGUGAGUGGAAUUGCGAGUGUAGAGGUGAAAUUCGUAGAUAUUCGCAAGAACACCAGUGGCGAAGGCGGCUCACUGGCCCGGAACUGACGCUGAGACGCGAAAGCGUGGGGAGCAAACAGGAUUAGAUACCCUGGUAGUCCACGCUGUAAACGAUGGAUGCUAGCCGUUGGGGAGCUUGCUCUUCAGUGGCGCAGCCAACGCUUUAAGCAUCCCGCCUGGGGAGUACGGUCGCAAGAUUAAAACUCAAAAAAAUUGACGGA